GGGACACGGGACACGGGACACGGGACACGGGACACGGGACACGGGACACGGGACACGGGACACGGGACACGGGACACGGGACACGGGACACGGGACACGGGACACGGGACACGGAACACGGAACACGGGACACGGCACGGGGCACGGGAUACGGGAUAUGGGAUACGGGGAUACCGGGACACGGGGACAUAGGGACACGGGGACACGGGACACGGGACACGGGACACCGCACGGGGCACGGGAUACGGGAUACGGGAUACGGGAUACGGAACACGGGACACGGGACACGGGAUAUGGGACAUGGGGAUACCGGGACGCGGGGACAUAGGGACACGGGGAUACCGGGAUACGGGAUACGGGAUACGGGAUACGGGAUACAGGAUACGGGAUACGGGAUACGGGAUAUGGGACACGGGACACGGGACACGGCACGGGACACGGGAGACACCGCACGGGGCACGGGAUACGGGAUACGGGAUACGGGAUACGGAACACGGGACACGGGACACGGGAUAUGGGACAUGGGGAUACCGGGACGCGGGGACAUAGGGACACGGGGAUACCGGGAUACGGGAUACGGGAUACGGGAUACGGGAUACAGGAUACGGGAUACGGGAUACGGGAUAUGGGACACGGGACACGGGACACGGCACGGGACACGGGAUACGGGGAUACCGGGAUACGAGACACGGGACACGGGAUAUGGGACACGGCACGGGACACGGGAUAUGGGACAUGGGACACGGGGAUACCGGGAUACGGGACACGGGGAUACCGGGAUACAGGACAUGGGACACGGGGAUACAGGGACACGGGGAUACCGGGACACGGGGACAUAGGGAUACGGGGACAUAAGGACACGGGGAUACGGGAUACGGGGAUACCGGGACACGGGGACCUGGGGACACGGGACACGGGGAUACCGGGACACGGGGAUACAGGAUACGGGGACAUAGGGACACGGAGAUACGGGACACGGGGACAUAGGGACACGGGGAUACCGGGAUGCGGGGAUACCGAGAUACGGGGACAUAGGGACACGGGACACGGGGCACGGGACGGGAACGGGGCAGGGCCCGGGGAAUGGCAGGGACACGGCUCUGGCACAGGACAGACACGGCCCCGGGGGAUCCGCGCUGCCCCCGCCCCGGGGCUGCGUGUGCGGGGCUGCAGGAGGGGCAGAGCCUGCGGGGCCGUGAGCGGGUGGAGCUGGUUAGAGCAGAAAAUCCAGGGAAAUCGGAGCUGGGGCAACACGGAGGAGGAGGAUGGUCCGUGGGGAUGAGCCGGUCCCUGGAGCAGCCCCAUGGUGCUGCAGAGCACAUUAAUCCGGGAAGCAGUGGCCAGGCAGGCUGAGCCCUCCUCCUGGCACGGAGCAGGGGGUGCCGCAUCCCCUCCCGGGGGG
This 1402-nucleotide long non-coding RNA is filed under the name Ficedula albicollis (Collared flycatcher). RNAcentral's name for it is "lncRNA (ENSFALG00000017522.2)". The record is from RNAcentral. Lineage: Eukaryota; Metazoa; Chordata; Aves; Passeriformes; Muscicapidae.